RNAcentral lists this ribosomal RNA (549 nucleotides) under uncultured archaeon. RNAcentral describes it as "bacterial SSU rRNA". It matches the Rfam family "Archaeal small subunit ribosomal RNA", at positions 275 to 824 of the family's 1478-position model. The record is from RNAcentral.
UGUGAGAGCAAGAGCCCGGAGAUGGAUUCUGAGACACGAAUCCAGGCCCUACGGGGUGCAGCAGGCGCGAAAACUUUACAAUGCUGGCAACAGCGAUAAGGGAACCUCGAGUGCCAGGUUACAAAUCUGGCUGUCGAGAUGCCUAAAAAGCAUUUCAUAGCAAGGGCCGGGCAAGACCGGUGCCAGCCGCCGCGGUAACACCGGCGGCUCGAGUGGUAACCGUUAUUAUUGGGUCUAAAGGGUCUGUAGCCGGCCGGAUAAGUCUCUUGAGAAAUCUGGCAGCUUAACUGUCAGGCUUUCAGGAGAUACUGUCUGGCUCGAGGCCGGGAGAGGUGAGAGGUACUUCAGGGGUAGGGGUGAAAUCUUGUAAUCCUUGAAGGACCACCAGUGGCGAAGGCGUCUCACCAGAACGGACCUGACGGCAAGGGACGAAAGCUAGGGGCACGAACCGGAUUAGAUACCCGGGUAGUCCUAGCCGUAAACGAUACUCGCUAGGUGUCGGCCACGGUGCGACCGUUGUCGGUGCCGUAGGGAAGCCGUGAAGCGAGC